CCCCCAACCAGUGAUCGAACCUGUGCCCCCCUGCAGUGGAAGAGCAGAGUCCUAACCACUGGACCACCAGGGAAUUCCCAUUUUUGGUAUUUUUUUAAAGACGUCACAGUGUCGAUCUUUGUGGUGAAGAGCUUCAGAGGACUCCUGAGCCUGCCCUUGACCAGGGCAGGGCCAAGCUUGACCAAUGGAGCCUCUGAUCUCAGGAGCAGCUUCUCAAAGGCAAGAAAACAAGUUUGCAGAGAAUAUAUUGCUUUGAGCAAGACACUAAGAGGGAGUAAGAUGAAACCCAUCAUUCGGUGGAGUGAGUCGAAGAGCCCAGCCCAGAAGCUGCUCUAUCUCUGAAAGGUCCCUAUUAACCCAAUGGCUCUAAAACUAAAGUGAAUUUAUCAGUAUCCCCGCCAAAUGUGAAAGUCCCCCAAAUAAGGCUUCCUGAUUCCAUUUGACCAUUUCUGUUGAGAAAUAGGUUCAUUUUAAAUCCGGAGCUCUUGGUAUCUGAGAUCACAGGUCCAGACCCCUCAAGAGGGCAAUAAUAUCAGCAGUUUCCUUGCUGCCAAGAAAUAAAAGCUUAAAACUCAUUUCAAGUCAUCUCCAUGUAACCCUGUUAUAAUUUUUCCCCAUAGAAGCAGUCAGUGGGGUGCAAGAACAGCCAGCAGCAGAAAGGAUGGAAAGAUUGUACAGAAAGGAUGGAAAGAUUGUAUCUCCUUCACUGCUAUCAUUCCCAUGGGAUUCUUUGCUUGCUCCCUCUGGCAGCUGGCCCCCUGAGGAAGCACCAACCUCCCCCAAACAAGUGUGAUUCAAUGAGAGUGUGGAACUUGGAGACAGAUGCCCCCUCAUAGUCCCAGAUCUGCUGCUACCUGUUAUUGUUGUAACUUGGGCAAGUAACCUAACCUUUGUGUCCCAGUUUACUCAUCUGUAAAAUGGGAUGAUAGCACCUACAUUACCCUUGCUUAGAUCAAAUAGGAGAAGAGAUGUUGCAAUUUCUAAAGAUCUAGUCAUGGAUAAGAUAUUAUCAUGUCCCCCUUACACAGGUGCCCGCACACACACACACACACACACACACACACACACACACACAUACUCUAAUGCCAAGGCUCAAGGAGAGAGCAAGGCUGGGGAAAUUUUUCACACCUACAUUAUUCUUCGGGGCCAGCACCCCUGUUUGGAACCCUUGUUUUGCCAGUCGUGGCUUCCUGCUUCCUCAUUUCCGUGAUCUGGAAAUGCUAGAGGCUCCAGGCUUGGUCUCCAGGCCUCUGUUCUUCUUUAUCUACAUUUAAUUCCUAAGUGAUCUCAUCCAGUCUCAGAGCUUUAACUGCCCUCUAUGCUCUGACUCCCUAAUAUACAUUGCUGACUGGGGCCUUGCUCCUGAACUCCAGACAUGUAUAUACAGCUGACUAUUCAACAUCUUCUCAUGACCAAAAAUAAACUUCUGAUAAUCUCCCCACCUCUUCCUCGCAUAGUUUUCCCCUUCUCAGUAAAUGGCCACUAUUAAGUUAGAAUAUAUGAAAUAACCUUUUUUUUUUUUUUAAGGUCAAGAACAGUCAAGUAUCAGCAACAUCAUUUGGUUCAACCAAAUACCUCCUUCCAGCUGCUCAGGCCAAAGGCCUUAGACUUUACAAUCCUUGACCCCUCUCUCUAAUUCUGUACCUUGAAUCUAUCAGGAAAUCCUGUUGGCUCUGCUAUCAAAUAUAUCCACAAUCUUUUCCCCACCACCUCUACUAAGCCAUUAUCAUUACUAUAUACACUCACUUUCCAACAGGCCUCCUCUCUUUAAUCCCUGAAUUCACUCAGAUAGAAACCAGUGAUCCUUUUAAACCAUAAAUCAGAUCCCCACUAUUCAAAACUCUCCAAGGACUUCCCAUUUCACUCUAUGUUAAAGCCAAAGCCAUUGCGGGCUUCCCAGGUCCUAUAGGAGCUGCCCCUACCCUCUUCCCUGACUCACAGCUUUCUAGCCACACUGGCCUUCUAGCUGUUCCUCAGAUAUACCAAGUAUGCUCCUGCCCCAGGGCCUUUGUACUUGCCACUCAGUCUGAAACAUUCUUCACUUAGAUUAAAAACAUGGCUUCCUCCCUUCUCUCCUUUAGGUCUUUGCAGAGAUGUCACCUUCUCUGUAGAGCCUUCUCUGGGCACCCGAUUUAAAAUUGAAAUCCCAGGGACUUCCCUGGUGGUCCAGUGGGUAAGACUCCGCACUCCCAA
Long non-coding RNA from Aethalodelphis obliquidens (Pacific white-sided dolphin), 2193 nucleotides. RefSeq lists it as uncharacterized. Lineage: Eukaryota; Metazoa; Chordata; Mammalia; Artiodactyla; Delphinidae. The transcript has 3 exons. The record is from RefSeq and is a predicted model, not a curated record.